This 107-nucleotide small nucleolar RNA is filed under the name Nicotiana sylvestris (wood tobacco). RNAcentral's name for it is "Plant small nucleolar RNA R71". It matches the Rfam family "Plant small nucleolar RNA R71". From Rfam's summary of the family: R71 is a member of the C/D box family of snoRNAs containing the C (UGAUGA) and D (CUGA) box motifs. Multiple nearly identical copies of this snoRNA have been identified in Arabidopsis, and it is thought to function as a 2'-O-ribose methylation guide for 18S ribosomal RNA. Lineage: Eukaryota; Viridiplantae; Streptophyta; Magnoliopsida; Solanales; Solanaceae. The record is from Rfam by way of RNAcentral. RNAcentral also lists the same sequence under 1 other name.
AUUCCACUAUUUUGUCACUUUCUAACUAUCUCCUUAAACCUCUCCCAUGCUUCAAAAACAAUUUCAGUCUCUUUUUGGAAAAAGUUAUGGAUUUCUCUUCUAAACUU